GACCAGACUCCUACGGGAGGCAGCAGUGGGGAAUAUUGCACAAUGGGGGGAACCCUGAUGCAGCGACGCCGCGUGGGUGAAGAAGUAUUUCGGUAUGUAAAGCCCUAUCAGCAGGGAAGAAAGAAGACGGUACCUGACUAAGAAGCCCCGGCUAACUACGUGCCAGCAGCCGCGGUAAUACGUAGGGGGCGAGCGUUAUCCGGAUUCACUGGGUGUAAAGGGAGCGUAGACGGCCGUGCAAGCCAGGAGUGAAAGCCCGGGGCCCAACCCCGGGACUGCUCUUGGAACUGUGCGGCUGGAGUGCGGGAGGGGCAGGCGGAAUUCCUGGUGUAGCGGUGAAAUGCGUAGAUAUCAGGAGGAACACCGGCGGCGAAGGCGGCCUGCUGGACCGCGACUGACGUUGAGGCUCGAAAGCGUGGGGAGCGAACAGGAUUAGAUACCCGGGUAG
Molecule: ribosomal RNA, 448 nt
Filed under: uncultured bacterium
Lineage: Bacteria
Description: bacterial SSU rRNA
Rfam family: Bacterial small subunit ribosomal RNA
Source: RNAcentral